GUGAAUCAUCGAAUUUUUGAACGCAAAUUGCACUUUCUGGUAUUCCGGAAAGUAUGCCUGUUUGAGGGUCAGUUAAAUAAAAAACGCUGUUGUUGCUGCUUUUCGUGGUGACGCGGCGGAAUUGAGUCUUCUUACUUUCGGUUAAGUGACUUAAAAUUUUGCAUGAUUUUCGAACGUAUUUAAAUUUCUUACGUACGUUUGAGAUAUCGAAUACUUAAUUAGUUACGGUCAUCAUCAUGAUUCGCACCUACAAUUUUUGUUUAC
RNAcentral lists this unclassified non-coding RNA (264 nucleotides) under Glomus sp. RNAcentral's name for it is "partial contains 5.8S ribosomal RNA and internal transcribed spacer 2". The stretch from base 1 to 71 matches the Rfam family "5.8S ribosomal RNA", at positions 84 to 154 of the family's 154-position model. Lineage: Eukaryota; Fungi; Glomeromycota; Glomeromycetes; Glomerales; Glomeraceae. The record is from RNAcentral.